Molecule: ribosomal RNA, 403 nt
Filed under: uncultured bacterium
Lineage: Bacteria
Description: partial 16S ribosomal RNA
Rfam family: Bacterial small subunit ribosomal RNA
Source: RNAcentral
GACGAACGCUGGCGGCGUGCUUAACACAUGCAAGUCGAACGAGUGGCGAACGGGUGAGUAAUACGGGAGUAACCUGCCCUCUUUUUGGGAUAAGCCUUGGAAAAGGGGUCAAAUACCGGAUAAAGGGGGAUGGGCUCGGGGCCUAUCAGCUUGUUGGUGGGGUGAUGGGCUACUAAGGCGGUGACGGGUAGCCGGCCUGAGAGGGUGAACGGCGGCUGUGGGACUGAGAUACAGCCCAUACUACUACGGGGGGCAGCAGUGGCGGAUAUUGCCCAAAGGGCGAAAGCCUGAUGCAGCGACACCGCAUGGGGGCUGAAGGCCUUCGGGUUGUAGACUUCUUUCGCUAUCGGGGUAGGUGGCGAAGAAGCGCCGGCUAACUCCGUGCCAGCAGCCGCGGUAAUAC